GGCGGAUGUCAGCGGUUCGAGUCCGCUUAUCUCCAGGGGAUAUAGCUCAGUUGGUAGAGCUCCGCCCUUGCAA
RNAcentral lists this transfer RNA (73 nucleotides) under Lindenbergia philippensis. Its description in RNAcentral is "tRNA-Ala". Lineage: Eukaryota; Viridiplantae; Streptophyta; Magnoliopsida; Lamiales; Orobanchaceae. The record is from RNAcentral.